This 1089-nucleotide long non-coding RNA is filed under the name Lonchura striata (white-rumped munia). Its description in RNAcentral is "domestica (Bengalese finch) lncRNA (ENSLSDG00000004933.1)". The record is from RNAcentral. Lineage: Eukaryota; Metazoa; Chordata; Aves; Passeriformes; Estrildidae.
AUGAGUCCUUUCAGGUCGCCUUUGAUCCAGGGGGGCCCAAAGUCCCCAGGGAGGCUCAUGCCAGGCUCCUGGGCUGCUCUGCUGCUGCUCAGGGGUCCUGGUGUGCUGCCCGUGCCCAGGGGUGUCUCUGGAGAGCAGGCAGGGCCGGGGGUCCCUUGCCGGGGGCAGUGGUGGGAUUGGAUCCCCCUGGAUCCAGCGCCAUCGAGCCCCACGCCCACCCCGGCCUCAGUCGCGCCUCUUGCCCUCCCUGGCCCUGCCGUCCCUGCCCGGCGCCGGCUCCCAGGGCCUCCUGCCCUUCUGCUGCUUCCAGUCCCGCCUCGGGCUCUCCCUCGGGCUCUCCCGGCCACCCUCAGCCCUGCCGGGACGGCCCCUCCACCCGUCCCUCCUGGACUCAUCCCUCUCCCGCCGUCUCUCCUUCCUCUCCUUCCUCUCCCGGUCUCGCUUCUUCUGGGGCUGCUGCUCGGCUUCCCUGGGGGCCCUGGGGGCUCUGCCAGGUUUGUCCCCCGCUGUCCUGUCCUUGGCUCGUGCCUCCCUCCGGCUGCUCCGCUCCACAUGGACAGCACGGCCUUCCCGGGCUUUCUCCUUCUUCCCCUCCUUCUUCUUCUCCUCCUUCUCCUCCUCCGCUUCCUCCUCCUUCUUCUCAUUCUCCUCCUCCUCCUCAUUCUCCUCUUUUUCUUUCUCCUUCUCCUCUUUUUCUUCCUCUUCCUCCUCCUCCUUCUCCACUUUCUUCUCCUGGCUCUUCUUCCCCUCCAUCACAGCCACUGGCACCUCGAGGACAGCUGCAGGUUCUUCAUCCUUGUCCUCAUCCUCAUCCUCAUCCUUAUCCUCAUCCUUGUCCUCAUCCUUGUCCUCAUCCUUGUCCCCAUUCUUGUCCUCAUCCUUGUCCUCAUCCUCUGGUGUUGCGCGGCCAAACCACUUCUUGAAGAUCCAGGGUUCUGCCUGUGGGGACAGAGGGGACCGGGAGCUGAUGGUGCAGCCCAGGGGACUGGGACCCCUGUCCAGCCCUGCCCUGGGGACAAGAUGCUCCCUGCCCCGGGAGGUGCCACCCUGACCCGUACCAGGUUGCUGUCAGCUUCGCUGUCAUCGUAA